This 445-nucleotide ribosomal RNA is filed under the name uncultured Planctomycetota bacterium. RNAcentral describes it as "bacterial SSU rRNA". It matches the Rfam family "Bacterial small subunit ribosomal RNA", at positions 916 to 1356 of the family's 1533-position model. Lineage: Bacteria; Pseudomonadati; Planctomycetota. The record is from RNAcentral.
GGGGCUCACACAAGCGGUGGAGCAUGUGGCUUAAUUCGAAGCAACGCGAAGAACCUUAUCCUAGGUUUGACAUACACGGAUUAGCUAUAAGAAACUAUAGUGACACCUUCGGGUGGAACGUGAACAGGUGCUGCAUGGCUGUCGUCAGCUCGUGCUGUGAAGUGUCGGGUUAAGUCCCUUAACGAGCGCAACCCUUAUCGUUAGUUGCCAGCGCGUAAUGGCGGGGACUCUAGCGAGACUGCCGGUGUUAAACCGGAGGAAGGUGGGGAUGACGUCAAGUCCGCAUGGCCUUUAUGCCUAGGGCUGCACACGUGCUACAAUGGCAAGUACAGAACGAAGCAAUACCGCGAGGUGGAGCAAAUCGCGAAAACUUGCCCCAGUUCAGAUUGCAGGCUGCAACUCGCCUGCAUGAAGUUGGAAUCGCUAGUAAUCGCGGAUCAGCAUG